UUCUGCUUUCAGACUUAGGGAGGGAGGAGAUGCGGGUGUAGAUUACCAAAGGAAAAAGAUGGAGACCGGCCGGAUACCUCACUAUAUGAGGUCACUGACACGAAAGACGAUCAGCAGAAGCUGCCAUACCCGAUCAACUGUAACGACAAUGCGCCAUGCGCCAUGGACCUCCGUCCCUGGUGUCUGGAGGGGCAGACCGAGCCUGUCCAUGGCCACUGUGAACUGCAGGAGGCUUUGUGCAAGGGCGCUGUACUCGACCCCAACCAGAGCUGCAUGUUACCGUUGAGCGACUAACACCACGAGACCCGAGAGACGACGUCACCUCGGCCAGUGGUCACCAGGAUCCGACCCUGCACGUUGGCUAUGCAGGAUAUCAGACAUUUGAUUGCAGUCGUUUCGAUAUGCAGUACAAAACACAAUAAAACAGAUUUGCUUCUAACGUG
This is a long non-coding RNA of Pomacea canaliculata, 443 nucleotides long. RefSeq lists it as uncharacterized. NCBI's taxonomy places the organism in Eukaryota, Metazoa, Mollusca, Gastropoda, Architaenioglossa, Ampullariidae. The record is from RefSeq and is a predicted model, not a curated record. The transcript is spliced from 3 exons.